ACGCACCGGGACGGUCGCACCGCUCGCUCGUUGCUUGUGCGGGCGGUGCAUCCCAACGUGCCAGAUGG
Molecule: small nucleolar RNA, 68 nt
Filed under: Euglena gracilis
Lineage: Eukaryota; Euglenozoa; Euglenophyceae; Euglenales; Euglenaceae
Description: Eg-p35.3 AGAUGN box pseudouridylation-guide
Source: RNAcentral